AUGAGACCCCCAGUGGGUGACGAAUUCCAGCAGGCUUUCCCUACCCUGCUGUGGAAAGCAAGGAGUCUUUAGGUUUGUGGGGAUCAACAACCGGAUUUGGCUUAAUGUAGGGGCUCACAGAGACCAUCCAUUUCUGGAGGGAGAGUGAAGGAGGAAGAAGAGGAGGAAGAGAAGGAGGAGGAAGAAGAGGAGGAGGAGUGAGGAGACUCUUGCCCCUAAGUGAGUUGAAAUUUAAGAUGGAGUAUUCCUGCCCAGCUCAGCUGGUCUCACUAUCUGUGGGGCUUGACUCUGGAAAGAAUCCAGGAAGCAGUUCUACUGAUGGCAUGUAGGCGGCUGAGACAAGAUUGAUCACCAUCUCUUUAUUAACAAUCAUUAUGAAGUCACUUGGAAAUGGAGGGAUUUCUUUCUUCAUCUGAAAGUUGCCUUUGGAAUGUUUAAUCAAAUUUCCAGUGUCUUAGUUCAAAUAAACACCUGAUAAUUUUGUUUA
Tachyglossus aculeatus (Australian echidna) is the source of this 487-nucleotide long non-coding RNA. RefSeq lists it as uncharacterized. The record is from RefSeq and is a predicted model, not a curated record. The transcript is spliced from 3 exons. Lineage: Eukaryota; Metazoa; Chordata; Mammalia; Monotremata; Tachyglossidae.